CUCCAGCUCUUAGAGUCCGUCCACCCCUUCUUCCACAGAGCUCCCUGAGCCUUGAGGGGAAGACUUUGAUGAAGACAUCCCGUAGGACUGAGUGCUCCAAAGUCUCUCAUUCUCUGCACAUUGUCCAGCUGUGAGCCUCUGUGUGAAUUCCCAUCUACUGCAAGACGAAACUUCUCUAGUAAGGGUUAAGCAAGGGACUAAUGUAUGGUUAUAGCAGAGUGUCAUUAGGAAUCAUUUUAUUGCUGUGUUUCUUUAGCAGAAUAAGAACACUAGGUUUUCCCCUAGGCCCACGACCUAUCUACUCUCAGGUUCCUGGCCUCUUUAGCCAAGAUUUGACCUCCAUCUCACAUGCUGCACACUGAGUAUCUGCCAGAUACGAGGCACUGAAGUGUCAGCCCUGUUCCUAGACAUGCAAGAGCAAGGCAUCAAACCAGACACGAAAGCGUUAGAGAAGCAGGUCAUUAAAGUGAUGAGCACCAGGCGGAAUUCAAACGCAGAACACGCGUGGGACACCCGGGAGAUCGUUUAGAUGAGGGUAUCAGAGAGUUCAGUUCUGAGGAUACAGCAUCUGUCUCCAUCUCCAAAGGAACAGUAAGUGUGCUGCAUCGUGGAGGCCAGGACAGAACAUUUCAAGCUGGGAGAAAUGCGGUGUGAAGAGUCAAGAAAGCCUGCUGUAUUGAGGAACUGAAAAAAAUCUACCAUGGCUGCAGCUUGGAGCGAGGGGAAGGCAGUUGAAGCCUGACACAGAAAGGAACAUCUGCUUAAACUGCCAGGAAAUUCAAAUGCAGCCCAAAGUAGGGCAGAGAACAGGAGACAUUGUGAAGAAGUUGUCCUCCGGCUUUCAUCGUUAACUACUGAAUUGAAGACUAAUAUACAUGUAUGCAGAACGGAUCCUUAAAACCAACUGGCUGCUUGCUUCUAAUCCAUGCUGUUACCUCUCAUUGGCUGGCCGUUGUUAUUGAGCCCUGUACUGUGUUCGGGCUUUGUAUGCAAGCAUGAACAGGGUAUCUACCAUCUCGUCAUUUCUGCAGUUUACAUGUCUGGGCAAACAAGGCAAAUACACAAGCAUGAUGGAUCAGCCCUGGGACACGUAGGCUUUCCACAGCAGGGGCCACUCCACAGAGCAGAAACGGUGAACAGGGCCACCGCAGGGUGGACAAAGCCACAAGAAGAUGAGACACAAGUCAAGGCUCUAGUAGCAAAGGAAACAUUAUCCUCACCCAUAAAACAUAAACCCAGGCUGGUCAGCUGGAGUAGGGGACUACUGUGGUAACACCACAUCAGCACUGGGCAAAGAAAAUUCCACCCUGGUUAUCAACUGCCAAAAGCAUUUGUUUUUCUUCUUCUCAUGAAAUGAAAGUAUUACUGACUUCAGGAAUCAUGCAGCUUAGAGUUUGGGGAAGUCUUGUUUUGUUUCGCUUUGUUUUAAGAAAACAAACUAUGCUUUAAGAAAAUAAUCUAUGCUUUAAGAAAACAAUUAUGUUUUAUAACUGCAAGGCAAAAUAUUUGAUGAGUGAACAUCCAAUUAUUUGGCUCUGGGUGUUUGCACAUGGGAGAAACUGUGGUUGUAAGCAUGUCUAGAACCAACACCCCUUGAAUGAGGAAGUGAGUCUUGCUGUUAGUAAACUGUCUUCAUCCCCAACCACAGAAGCAGAUGUUGACAACAAAUUUGAUUUACAAAGUAAAUAUAAAUUUUGCAGUCGGGCUCAA
Long non-coding RNA from Peromyscus eremicus (cactus mouse), 1710 nucleotides. RefSeq lists it as uncharacterized. The record is from RefSeq and is a predicted model, not a curated record. The transcript has 2 exons. NCBI's taxonomy places the organism in Eukaryota, Metazoa, Chordata, Mammalia, Rodentia, Cricetidae.